UUAAUUGAAGCUAAAAAGAAGCAUUCCACUGUUAAUGGAAAAAAUGGAAUUAACCCAAUUAAA
This 63-nucleotide transfer RNA is filed under the name Caliscelis shandongensis. Its description in RNAcentral is "tRNA-Asn". Lineage: Eukaryota; Metazoa; Arthropoda; Insecta; Hemiptera; Caliscelidae. The record is from RNAcentral.